RNAcentral lists this ribosomal RNA (410 nucleotides) under uncultured bacterium. RNAcentral's name for it is "bacterial SSU rRNA". It matches the Rfam family "Bacterial small subunit ribosomal RNA", at positions 28 to 426 of the family's 1533-position model. The record is from RNAcentral.
GAUGAACGCUGGCGGCGUGCCUAAUACAUGCAAGUCGAGCGAACAGAUGAGAAGCUUGCUUCUCUGAUGUUAGCGGCGGACGGGUGAGUAACACGUGGGUAACCUACCUAUAAGACUGGGAUAACUCCGGGAAACCGGGGCUAAUACCGGAUAAUAUUUUGAACCGCAUGGUUCAAUAGUGAAAGACGGUUUCGGCUGUCACUUAUAGAUGGACCCGCGCCGUAUUAGCUAGUUGGUAAGGUAACGGCUUACCAAGGCGACGAUACGUAGCCGACCUGAGAGGGUGAUCGGCCACACUGGAACUGAGACACGGUCCAGACUCCUACGGGAGGCAGCAGUAGGGAAUCUUCCGCAAUGGGCGAAAGCCUGACGGAGCAACGCCGCGUGAGUGAUGAAGGUCUUCGGAUCGU